Molecule: ribosomal RNA, 467 nt
Filed under: uncultured Prevotella sp.
Lineage: Bacteria; Pseudomonadati; Bacteroidota; Bacteroidia; Bacteroidales; Prevotellaceae
Description: bacterial SSU rRNA
Rfam family: Bacterial small subunit ribosomal RNA
Source: RNAcentral
AGAGUUUGAUCAUGGCUCAGGAUGAACGCUAGCUACAGGCUUAACACAUGCAAGUCGAGGGGCAGCGGGCAGAAAGCUUGCUUUCUGUGCCGGCGACCGGCGCACGGGUGCGUAACGCGUAUCGAACCUACCACAUACUCAGGGAUAGCCUUGCGAAAGUAAGAUUAAUACCUGAUGUUGUUUAAUGUCCGCAUGGACACUAAACCAAGGAUUUAUUGGUAUGUGAUGGCGAUGCGUCUGAUUAGGUAGUAGGCGGGGUAACGGCCCACCUAGCCAUCGAUCAGUAGGGGUUCUGAGAGGAAGGUCCCCCACAUUGGAACUGAGACACGGUCCAAACUCCUACGGGAGGCAGCAGUGAGGAAUAUUGGUCAAUGGACGGAAGUCUGAACCAGCCAAGUAGCGUGCAGGAUGACGGCCCUCCGGGUUGUAAACUGCUUUUAGUUGGGAAUAACGACGGGGACGUGUCC